RNAcentral lists this ribosomal RNA (330 nucleotides) under uncultured Clostridiaceae bacterium. RNAcentral's name for it is "bacterial SSU rRNA". It matches the Rfam family "Bacterial small subunit ribosomal RNA", at positions 28 to 339 of the family's 1533-position model. The record is from RNAcentral. Lineage: Bacteria; Bacillati; Bacillota; Clostridia; Eubacteriales; Clostridiaceae.
GAUGAACGCUGGCGGCGUGCCUAACACAUGCAAGUCGAGCGAGAAGCUUAUGUGAUGAAACUUCGGUAGAUUCUUUUAAGUGGAAAGCGGCGGACGGGUGAGUAACGCGUAGGCAACCUGCCCUUAGCAGGGGGAUAGCCAUUGGAAACGAUGAUUAAAACCCCAUAACGCAGCCAUAUCACAUGAUGAGGCUGCCAAAGAUUUAUCGGCUAAGGAUGGGCCUGCGUCUGAUUAGCUAGUUGGUGAGGUAACGGCUCACCAAGGCAACGAUCAGUAGCCGACCUGAGAGGGUGAUCGGCCACAUUGGAACUGAGACACGGUCCAAACUCC